UAUACGACCGUACCGCAAACCGACACUGGUGCGCGAGAUGAGUAUCCUAAGGCGCUUGAGAGAACUCAGGAGAAGGAACUCGGCAAAUUGACACCGUAACUUCGGAAGAAGGUGUGCCCUAUUAGUGUGUAGUGAACAACGAAGCAUGAAUGGGUUGCAAAAAAUCGGUGGCUGCGACUGUUUAUUAAAAACACAGCACUCUGCAAACACGAAAGUGGACGUAUAGGGUGUGACGCCUGCCCGGUGCUGGAAGAUUAAAUGAUGGGGUGCAAGCUCUUGAUUGAAGUCCCAGUAAACGGCGGCCGUAACGAUAACGGUCCUAAGGUAGCGAAAUUCCUUGUCGGGUAAGUUCCGACCUGCACGAAUGGCGUAACGAUGGCCACACUGUCUCCUCCUGAGACUCAGCGAAGUUGAAAUGUUUGUGAUGAUGCAAUCUCCCCGCGGAAAGACGGAAAGACCCCAUGAACCUUUACUGUAGCUUUGUAUUGGACUUAGAACAGAUCUGUGUAGGAUAGGUGGGAGGCUUUGAAGCAGGGUCGCUAGAUCUUGUGGAGCCAACGUUGAAAUACCACCCUGGUGUGUUUGAGGUUCUAACCUAGGUCCAUUAUCUGGAUCGGGGACAGUGCAUGGUAGGCAGUUUGACUGGGGCGGUCUCCUCCCAAAGCGUAACGGAGGAGUUCGAAGGUACGCUAGUUACGGUCGGACAUCGUGACGAUAGUGCAAUGGCAUAAGCGUGCUUAACUGCGAGACUGACAAGUCGAGCAGAUGCGAAAGCAGGACAUAGUGAUCCGGUGGUUCUGUAUGGAAGGGCCAUCGCUCAACGGAUAAAAGGUACUCUGGGGAUAACAGGCUGAUACCGCCCAAGAGUUCAUAUCGACGGCGGUGUUUGGCACCUCGAUGUCGGCUCAUCUCAUCCUGGGGCUGUAGCCGGUCCCAAGGGUAUGGCUGUUCGCCAUUUAAAGAGGUACGUGAGCUGGGUUUAAAACGUCGUGAGACAGUUUGGUCCCUAUCUUCCGUGGGCGCUGCAGAUUUGAGGAAGCCUGCUCCUAGUACGAGAGGACCGGAGUGGACACACCUCUGGUGUAUCGGUUGUCACGCCAGUGGCAUUGCCGAGUAGCUAAGUGUGGAAGAGAUAACCGCUGAAAGCAUCUAAGCGGGAAACUCGUUUCAAGAUGAGAUCUGCCGGGGCCUUGAGCCCCCUAAAGAGUCGUUCAAGACCAGGACGUUGAUAGGUCAGGUGUGGAAGCCA
RNAcentral lists this ribosomal RNA (1249 nucleotides) under metagenome. Its description in RNAcentral is "bacterial LSU rRNA". It matches the Rfam family "Bacterial large subunit ribosomal RNA", at positions 1635 to 2876 of the family's 2925-position model. The record is from RNAcentral.